UCACGGAUGGCCGAGUGGUCUAGGCCUUAGACUUUUACUUAAGGGGUCAGUGGUUCGAAUUCAGUGAA
RNAcentral lists this transfer RNA (68 nucleotides) under Dreissena polymorpha. RNAcentral describes it as "tRNA-Lys". The record is from RNAcentral. Lineage: Eukaryota; Metazoa; Mollusca; Bivalvia; Myida; Dreissenidae.